GAUGAACGCUGGCGGCGUGCCUAAUACAUGCAAGUCGAGCGAACAGACGAGGAGCUUGCUCCUCUGACGUUAGCGGCGGACGGGUGAGUAACACGUGGAUAACCUACCUAUAAGACUGGGAUAACUUCGGGAAACCGGAGCUAAUACCGGAUAAUAUAUUGAACCGCAUGGUUCAAUAGUGAAAGACGGUUUUGCUGUCACUUAUAGAUGGAUCCGCGCCGCAUUAGCUAGUUGGUAAGGUAACGGCUUACCAAGGCAACGAUGCGUAGCCGACCUGAGAGGGUGAUCGGCCACACGGGAACUGAGACACGGUCCAGACUCCUACGGGAGGCAGCAGUAGGGAAUCUUCCGCAAUGGGCGAAAGCCUGACGGAGCAACGCCGCGUGAGUGAUGAAGGUCUUCGGAUCGUAAAACUCUGUUAUUAGGGAAGAACAAAUGUGUAAGUAACUAUGCACGUCUUGACGGUACCUAGUCAGAAAGCCACGGCUAACUACGUG
This 497-nucleotide ribosomal RNA is filed under the name uncultured bacterium. RNAcentral describes it as "partial 16S ribosomal RNA". It matches the Rfam family "Bacterial small subunit ribosomal RNA", at positions 28 to 507 of the family's 1533-position model. The record is from RNAcentral.